ACCAAGGCGACGAUCCGUAACUGGUCUGAGAGGAUGAUCAGUCACACUGGAACUGAGACACGGUCCAGACUCCUACGGGAGGCAGCAGUGGGGAAUAUUGGACAAUGGGCGAAAGCCUUGAUCCAGCCAUGCCGCGUGUGUGAAGAAGGUCUUCGGAUUGUAAAGCACUUUAAGUUGGGAGGAAGGGCAGUUACCGUAAUACGUGAUUGUUUUGACGUUACCGACAGAAUAAGCACCGGCUAACUCUGUGCCAGCAGCCGCGGUAAUACAGAGGGUGCAAGCGUUAAUCGGAAUUACUGGGCGUAAAGCGCGCGUAGGUGGUUUGUUAAGUUGGAUGUGAAAUCCCCGGGCUCAACCUGGGAACUGCAUUCUAAAACUGACUGACUAGAGUAUGGUAGAGGGUGGUGGAAUUUCCUGUGUAGCGGUGUAAAUGCGUAGAUAU
Molecule: ribosomal RNA, 442 nt
Filed under: Pseudomonas sp. Z42
Lineage: Bacteria; Pseudomonadati; Pseudomonadota; Gammaproteobacteria; Pseudomonadales; Pseudomonadaceae
Description: bacterial SSU rRNA
Rfam family: Bacterial small subunit ribosomal RNA
Source: RNAcentral